UUGUUUUUCACAAUUAUUGCAAUUUUUGAUUGUCGCCAGCUCAACUGCUACAAAUUUCGACCGCUGAAAGAUCGUCACGACAGCGUUUUGUUUCAGUGUGUGAAUUUAUUGUUACUCUGUUGAACUGUAGGCGAUUUUCUAGUCCUCUCAAUGUAUAAUUUCAAACAUUUUAUUCAAUAUUUUGUUAAGUUAUAGUGUUUUGUAAAAGGUAGUGUAUUUAUAGCGUGUUGAGGCCCGGUCACACUACACAACGAUAACAAUACGAUAAAUUGUAAACACGCGAUAAUUGGCAAAAAAAUUGUGUUAGUGUCCACACAACAACGAAAAUGAUAAAAUUAUCGUUAAAAAAAAGUUAAACUUCACUGCGUUUUACCACGCAUGAGUUUGUUCAUAUAAUAAGUUCAGCUCAUUUUUCAUCAUUUUCAUUCAUGUUGAGUGAUUUUACUACAGUUGAAGUAAAGCUGCUCCUGUUUUACCAACUAAAGCAACUAGGCCAUUUGGGUGAGAAGUUAGCACAGCACGUCUAAUCCAUUCGCUAGACCCCAAACAUAAACUGUUUGUUAGUUCUCCAGUUUCUGAGAAACUCAGCCAACCACAUCCUGAUGACUGACACGUUUUAACUAGAAUAUUAUUUGUGACGUGAUUUAUUGCAACCGAAACAAUAAAUCCACGUUCUUCGGGUAUCUUAAUUUUGCGUUCUAACUGCCCGUUCUCUGUGUAGAUAUAAACGGUAUAGUAAUCUGCGGCAAUUAUUUUUGUUCCAUUAAAAUCUGAGAACAAUAUGCUCGAAUUCAUCCAAACGAUUGUGAUAGAAAAUUCGCUGAGAGAAAGACUUUUGUCAACUUUAGAGGAACUCAGCUCCACACAUACGUUACCAAUAUACAGGAUUUUCUCCUCGCAAUUUAAAAUAGCAAUCUUCCCGUCCUUGUUUAUUGCUAUGCCCGCUCUUUUUCUAGAGCUUUGAUGAAAAGGUAACACAGAC
This is a non-coding RNA of Paramuricea clavata, 982 nucleotides long. The record is from the annotation of a GenBank genome assembly. Lineage: Eukaryota; Metazoa; Cnidaria; Anthozoa; Malacalcyonacea; Plexauridae.